CCCUGCCAUUUGUACACACCGCCCGUCGCUCCUACCGAUUGGAUGGUCCGGUGAAAUCUUCGGACCUGACCCAGACCCGAGGCAACUCGACUGGGUCGGGGAAGUUGAUUAAACCUUAUCAUCUAGAGGAAGGA
This 134-nucleotide ribosomal RNA is filed under the name uncultured eukaryote. Its description in RNAcentral is "partial small subunit ribosomal RNA". It matches the Rfam family "Eukaryotic small subunit ribosomal RNA", at positions 1651 to 1784 of the family's 1831-position model. The record is from RNAcentral.